GGGUAUUAUUACAUACACGGUUAGUAUUAAAUUAAUAUACAUGUAGUUAUGAAUACACGGUUUAAUACACGUGUAAUUAAAUACAGGUCUACCCGUAUACCCGUGUAUUUUAAAUACCUGUAAAAAAUCGUAAGCCUUAAUUAAAACGUAAUAUUAUAAUACAUUUUAGAAAAAAAAAUUGUUGUUUAAUCGUCUCAAAUAAUUCC
Cinara cedri is the source of this 206-nucleotide non-coding RNA. The record is from the annotation of a GenBank genome assembly. NCBI's taxonomy places the organism in Eukaryota, Metazoa, Arthropoda, Insecta, Hemiptera, Aphididae.